Argentina anserina (silverweed cinquefoil) is the source of this 2336-nucleotide long non-coding RNA. RefSeq lists it as uncharacterized. The transcript has 3 exons. The record is from RefSeq and is a predicted model, not a curated record. NCBI's taxonomy places the organism in Eukaryota, Viridiplantae, Streptophyta, Magnoliopsida, Rosales, Rosaceae.
GUUUUUAUUCUAUUCAAUUAAACCCUUCAAUUACUUGUGAUCUCUUCUUUUAGGUUUUGUUUUCUGGGUUAUUUAGGGGAAAAUUUAUGGAGUUACGGGAUGGGAUUACAAGAAGCCAGAAAGAGCUCAUCCAGUGCGUCCUUACAACCUGCCGCCAAAAACGAGUGUUCUUCAGGAAACUCUUGCAGGGGUUAUUAAUAUGAUUGGACCCGCUAUGAGGAUCGAAGCUUUGAAAUAUAUCAAUAUAUUAGCUAACCAGUCCAGGUGCGUUAUGGUUUUUUUGCGCAUGCCUAAGUUGAUAUCAGCAGCUAUUUGGUGAGUAAUGAAAUCUUGAGUCAUAUAUAUUAUACAUGAGUCUUGAUUUAAACUUAGAGAACUGAAAUAUUGAUGACCAUAUGUUUUUUCUUUCUUAGCUUAGAUUUUUGGAUAGUUACUGUCAAUUUCUAAUUAAGGAUCAAUAGUUAUAAAAUAACCACACGAUUGAUCUCAAACUAUGUUGCAUGGAUACGGCAAUUGGAGGCGUGUCGCCGUGUCCGACACGCCGAUACGACACGAUACACAUAUUACUAAAAAUCUUUGGUAGUUCAAUUAUGUUUUGAUAUUGGUAUUUGAACCCAUACUACUGGACUACUACUUCACUGAAUCACUGAAUUUAAAAGAUUUCCGUCAAUAGCCUUGGUGUUAUAAGUUCAGUAUCUGAAGAUCAUGAUAGCAACUAAAACUGUGUAGGCAAUAGGGUAUAGGACUACUUGAUAUGUAUGUAGGAACUUAGGAUGUUCCUCCACAUUGAUUUUCUGCAUCAAAUUAUGUGUAAGGGCCUUAUGCUUUAAUAUCUUUGGGCAGUGUGUUGAAAAGUAUCCAUCUAAAAUGAUAUUGGCUAUUGAUGUUGAGUAUUGAUUAUUAAAGUAGAAGUAAUUAGAUGUGAUGAUUUAAUUGUUGAAUACUUUCAUAAGAUGAGUUCAAGUGCAGCAUCAACCGAACCGUCCGAACAUAGUGUUAAUACAACUGAGGUGGGAAAUUGAAGUGCUCCUCUUUGGAAAUAUGUUACUAAGCAUGUAGUACUUGAUGACGAUGGAAAUGUUGUCAAAGCCGCAUGAGGAAAUGUUAGCUGGGAAUGUAAGUUAUGUCAUGUGAGUUUCAAUGGGUCACAUUCUAGAGUUAAGUCUCAUUUGCUUAAAGAGAAAGGCACAGGAGUCAGGGCUUGCAGCAAAAUCAAUGAUGAUCAGGGUCAAGAAGUACAUCAGCUUCUAGCCUUUUGUGAGCAAAAGUUGCGGGAGAAAGCUCCUAAGAAAGUUUCUUUGCCUCCUUCAAAUAUGUCUAUGUUAGGAAGUGGUUCCACUUAUUUUCCCUUGGAGGAAAGGGAUGAUGCAAGCAAAAAGAGAAGGGUGGUGAGUCCACAUCUUCCCAAAGCUUUCAAGAUUGAAGAGAGGUAACAAUGUUAUGCCGAAGUUGCAAGAUUGUUUUGCACUAAUGGAUUACCGUUCAAUGUCCUUAUUUCCGAGGAUCCUACAUUCGUGCUUCACACAUUCCGGGUUAUACUCCCUCGGGGUACAAUGAAUAGAAGACCACUCUUCUUGAUAAUGAGAGGCGCAAUGGGUGCUACAACCCGUUAAGAAGACAUGGAAGGAGACCGAUGUGAGCUUGUGUUCCGAUGGGUGGACCAAUGAUCAAUAUGAUGGCUGUUUCCACCAAUAGGGCUAUUAUGUUAAAGGCAAUAAAUUCUGAAGACCAAUAUAAAGACAAGCAUGAAAUUAGUAAAUUGCUUUUGGAAUCCAUCAAUGAGUAGAUUGCUUUUGGAUUCUAUGAUGUGGUGCACUCCAUCUUGAUACAUAGGUGGACUAGGAAUUCUACCUCUCUUUAUUGCCUAGCACACUCCUUGAAUCCAAGGUAUUAUAGUUCUCAAUGGCUUAAAGAGGUUCCUAAUCGGGUUGCGCGCUCCAUAUAGAGAUCCCGAGCUCAACAAUGAAAGGAGAAAAUGUCUUCAACAACUCUUUCCAAAUUCCCAAGUUUGUAACAAAGUGAUGGAGGAAUUUGCCUAUUUUUCAUUAAACAUGGGAGAUUAUUCGACACCCGAAGCUUUGGAGAAUAAGUUCCAUUUUGAGCCUAUAAUUUGGUGGGCAAGUUAUGGAGCAUCUACACUACUUCAAACUUUGUGUCACAUCCUGGAAGGGAAAAUGACGGUAUUAAAGUUAAAAAAUUUGGAUUAACAAGCGAACAAACGAACAGAGUCCGUUUGAACACUCCCUAGCUUGGAAACUUGUACAAAUUUUUCGCUAAACAAUGAACUGAGUUUUACAUAUGUAACUUGAAAAGAAACUCAAAUUACGAUUUUGGAA